GCACUGCUGAGGAGUCCCAUAAUAGGACGAAAUGGCCCUCCAGUGC
Schistosoma rodhaini is the source of this 46-nucleotide non-coding RNA. The record is from Rfam. NCBI's taxonomy places the organism in Eukaryota, Metazoa, Platyhelminthes, Trematoda, Strigeidida, Schistosomatidae.